GCGGGCGUAGUUCAGUGGCAGAACGAUAGCUUCCCAAGCUAUAUGUCGCGCGUUCGAAUCGCGUCGCCCGCUCCA
This 75-nucleotide transfer RNA is filed under the name Caldilineaceae bacterium. RNAcentral describes it as "tRNA-Gly". It matches the Rfam family "tRNA". From Rfam's summary of the family: Transfer RNA (tRNA) molecules are approximately 80 nucleotides in length. Their secondary structure includes four short double-helical elements and three loops (D, anti-codon, and T loops). Lineage: Bacteria; Bacillati; Chloroflexota; Caldilineae; Caldilineales; Caldilineaceae. The record is from RNAcentral.